CUGCGAUAAGCGCCGGUAAGGUGAUAUGAACCGUUAUAACCGGCGAUACCCGAAUGGGGAAACCCAGUGUGACUCGUCACACUAUCAUUAACUGAAUCCAUAGGUUAAUGAGGCGAACCGGGGGAACUGAAACAUCUAAGUACCCCGAGGAAAAGAAAUCAACCGAGAUUCCCCCAGUAGCGGCGAGCGAACGGGGAGGAGCCCAGAGCCUGAAUCAGCAUGUGUGUUAGUGGAAGCGUCUGGAAAGGCGCGCGAUACAGGGUGACAGCCCCGUACACAAAAGCGCAUGUGCUGUGAGCUCGAUGAGUAGGGCGGGACACGUGGUAUCCUGUCUGAAUAUGGGGGGACCAUCCUCCAAGGCUAAAUACUCCUGACUGACCGAUAGUGAACCAGUACCGUGAGGGAAAGGCGAAAAGAACCCCGGCGAGGGGAGUGAAAAAGAACCUGAAACCGUGUACGUACAAGCAGUGGGAGCCCCACCACCAAAGCAUUUGCUGUACCGCGUUGACGGAGCGAAGCGACGUCAAACCGAUAAAACAGCAGUGUAAAGUGAGCCGCAGGGCGCUUUGCGCGACAGCGCAAAGGCAGGCGGUUUCGCGUAGCGAAAGCGAAUGCUUUGGGGUGGGGUGACUGCGUACCUUUUGUAUAAUGGGUCAGCGACUUAUAUUCUGUAGCAAGGUUAACCGAAUAGGGGAGCCGGAGGGAAACCGAGUCUUAAUUGGGCGUUAAGUUGCAGGGUAUAGACCCGAAACCCGGUGAUCUAGCCAUGGGCAGGUUGAAGGUUGGGUAACACUAACUGGAGGACCGAACCGACUAAUGUUGAAAAAUUAGCGGAUGACCUGUGGCUGGGGGUGAAAGGCCAAUCAAACCGGGAGAUAGCUGGUUCUCCCCGAAAGCUAUUUAGGUAGCGCCUCGUGAAUUCAUCUCCGGGGGUAGAGCACUGUUUCGGCUAGGGGGCCAUCCCGGCUUACCAACCCGAUGCAAACUGCGAAUACCGGAGAAUGUUAUCACGGGAGACACACGGCGGGUGCUAACGUCCGUCGUGAAGAGGGAAACAACCCAGACCGCCAGCUAAGGUCCCAAAGUCAUGGUUAAGUGGGAAACGAUGUGGGAAGGCCCAGACAGCCAGGAUGUUGGCUUAGAAGCAGCCAUCAUUUAAAGAAAGCGUAAUAGCUCACUGGUCGAGUCGGCCUGCGCGGAAGAUGUAACGGGGCUAAACCAUGCACCGAAGCUGCGGCAGCGACACUGUGUGUUGUUGGGUAGGGGAGCGUUCUGUAAGCCUGUGAAGGUGUGUCGUGAGGCAUGCUGGAGGUAUCAGAAGUGCGAAUGCUGACAUAAGUAACGAUAAAGCGGGUGAAAAGCCCGCUCGCCGGAAGACCAAGGGUUCCUGUCCAACGUUAAUCGGGGCAGGGUGAGUCGACCCCUAAGGCGAGGCCGAAAGGCGUAGUCGAUGGGAAACGGGUUAAUAUUCCCGUACUUGGUGUUACUGCGAAGGGGGGACGGAGAAGGCUAUGUUGGCCGGGCGACGGUUGUCCCGGUUUAAGCGUGUAGGUGUGUGUUCCAGGUAAAUCCGGUUCACUUUAACACUGAGGCGUGACGACGAGGCACUACGGUGCUGAAGCAACAAAUGCCCUGCUUCCAGGAAAAGCCUCUAAGCAUCAGGUAACAUCAAAUCGUACCCCAAACCGACACAGGUGGUCAGGUAGAGAAUACCAAGGCGCUUGAGAGAACUCGGGUGAAGGAACUAGGCAAAAUGGUGCCGUAACUUCGGGAGAAGGCACGCUGACACGUAGGUGAAGUGAUUUACUCAUGGAGCUGAAGUCAGUCGAAGAUACCAGCUGGCUGCAACUGUUUAUUAAAAACACAGCACUGUGCAAACACGAAAGUGGACGUAUACGGUGUGACGCCUGCCCGGUGCCGGAAGGUUAAUUGAUGGGGUCAGCGCAAGCGAAGCUCCUGAUCGAAGCCCCGGUAAACGGCGGCCGUAACUAUAACGGUCCUAAGGUAGCGAAAUUCCUUGUCGGGUAAGUUCCGACCUGCACGAAUGGCGUAAUGAUGGCCAGGCUGUCUCCACCCGAGACUCAGUGAAAUUGAACUCGCUGUGAAGAUGCAGUGUACCCGCGGCAAGACGGAAAGACCCCGUGAACCUUUACUAUAGCUUGACACUGAACAUUGAGCCUUGAUGUGUAGGAUAGGUGGGAGGCUUUGAAGUGUGGACGCCAGUCUGCAUGGAGCCGACCUUGAAAUACCACCCUUUAAUGUUUGAUGUUCUAACGUGGACCCGUUACCCGGGUUGCGGACAGUGUCUGGUGGGUAGUUUGACUGGGGCGGUCUCCUCCUAAAGAGUAACGGAGGAGCACGAAGGUUGGCUAAUCCUGGUCGGACAUCAGGAGGUUAGUGCAAUGGCAUAAGCCAGCUUGACUGCGAGCGUGACGGCGCGAGCAGGUGCGAAAGCAGGUCAUAGUGAUCCGGUGGUUCUGAAUGGAAGGGCCAUCGCUCAACGGAUAAAAGGUACUCCGGGGAUAACAGGCUGAUACCGCCCAAGAGUUCAUAUCGACGGCGGUGUUUGGCACCUCGAUGUCGGCUCAUCACAUCCUGGGGCUGAAGUAGGUCCCAAGGGUAUGGCUGUUCGCCAUUUAAAGUGGUACGCGAGCUGGGUUUAGAACGUCGUGAGACAGUUCGGUCCCUAUCUGCCGUGGGCGCUGGAGAACUGAGGGGGGCUGCUCCUAGUACGAGAGGACCGGAGUGGACGCAUCACUGGUGUUCGGGUUGUCAUGCCAAUGGCACUGCCCGGUAGCUAAAUGCGGAAGAGAUAAGUGCUGAAAGCAUCUAAGCACGAAACUUGCCCCGA
Molecule: ribosomal RNA, 2851 nt
Filed under: Salmonella enterica
Lineage: Bacteria; Pseudomonadati; Pseudomonadota; Gammaproteobacteria; Enterobacterales; Enterobacteriaceae
Description: partial 23S ribosomal RNA
Rfam family: Bacterial large subunit ribosomal RNA
Source: RNAcentral